Molecule: long non-coding RNA, 349 nt
Organism: Temnothorax curvispinosus
Lineage: Eukaryota; Metazoa; Arthropoda; Insecta; Hymenoptera; Formicidae
Exons: 2
Source: RefSeq, a predicted model, not a curated record
CAUAUUGCGAAAAUAUCACUGUUAAUGCGGAUUAUUGCAAGACGAUCGUUUCUAACUGCGUAGAGAAAGCGAAUCUAUUAGACUCAACAUCUAACGUCCAAAAAAGCCUAGCUGUAGUAAAAUGUAACUUAGACAGCGGUUUAGUGGAUUUGAUUCCAAAACCAGAAGGAGAAAACGUAUAAAGAAAUAUUUGUCAAAAGUAUCAGUGCAACUAUAUUGAUCAUUUUUAUUUUAUCGCAAUAUUCUAUAUGUAUAAAAUAAUUAUCUAUUUCCUAUGUAAUUCUAUAUAGUUAUCAGUGUUAAAUUAGAACCAAUGUAUUGUUCUAACAAUAAAAUAUUGUGCAUAUAA